Peromyscus maniculatus bairdii (prairie deer mouse) is the source of this 1461-nucleotide long non-coding RNA. RefSeq lists it as uncharacterized. NCBI's taxonomy places the organism in Eukaryota, Metazoa, Chordata, Mammalia, Rodentia, Cricetidae. The record is from RefSeq and is a predicted model, not a curated record.
UCUUAUUAUGAACAAAAAUGAUGGUAAUAUGCUUCAAUGAUAUAAAAAUGUAUCUUUUAUUCAAAUUGAAUUUUAGAUACUUGUUCAUAAAGGCCAAAAUGACUCUCUAAAUCUUUAAAAGUGGAGGCUAUUAGGCAAUACUGAAGAACAUGGGCUGCAUGUUACUGACUAUCAGAAAAGAAUCUUUAAAGCAAAGCAGUGGAAUAAAACUGCCAUGUGACAGCGUAUUAAGAUCAGACAGGCAUCAUGAAGUAACUUGUUCCAAAGAAGCAAGGAAUACAGGAUCCAUGCCAAGUAAAGACAAAUUGAUGUGGAAGAAGUCUAGGGCAUUGAAUCUACUGCUGUGAAGAUGGCUACUACUCCAAGGAGGGGUGCAGCACUAGGGACUCAUUGUUAGUCUUUGCUCCUGACAAGGCCACUUAAUAAGUGGAAAGUUUGUUAUCUAUUCUCACCUCAAGUCAGUUGAACAUUUUUUUCUAUUUUAACACUGAUGAUUUCAUCAAAAGUUGAAAUUUGCUUUGGAGACACACCAACAGCUCCAAAAGGCCAUGGGUGGAAUUUCAACUAGAAUUCAAAAGUUGCAGAAAGGACACAUGAGAACCCAGUGAGGGACGCCGCUGCCUCAUUCACUGCCACUGUCACCUCAGCUGGUUGUGCAUUUCUUUCAACUCAGGCUCUUCACUUUGAGAGGAAAACUCUAUAUAUGCUAUUUGUGACACUAAAAAUUGAAGUUAGUGUGAUAGUAGACUCAUGACAAGAAAAAAAAUAAUCUUUUACGUUAUAAAAUGAGAAACAAAUUCAUGUAAUUUACUAUAGAAAAAACAACAACAGAUAACUAAGUGGCAACAAAUUAAUGAAGGAUAAAAUAAGACAAGACAUGUAUAAAUCAAUAAAAUGGAACAAGUUAGUGAUUUCAAUAAUUAUGUCAAAUGAAUAUAUAUGUCAAUAUCUGAAAUCAGAUAUUUAUAGGAUACACACAAACAUGAUUAUAAUAUGGGUUUGCUAUGGCCUUUCAAAAGUUAUUUCAGAAUCUAACACCUAAUGUGAUGUGCUACAAAGAGUGAGGCAGUAUAAGAUGUUAUUAAGGGUUAAUGCAUCUGUGUCUAUGUAUGAGAUAAGUUUCUUAUUCACAACGUUGAAGUAAUCUGCUUUGCCUUCUAUACCAUCAACACGUACCAAUAAGUAACCAACUAUAAGGAACAAAUUCUUGACACCAAACCCUCAGAUGUUUUAUCUUAACCUUCCCACCCUGUCUAAAUAUGUGUGACAAAAUACUCUUUUUGUAAGUUAUAUAGUUAGUGAUGGUAAGAAAUCAGAUGAAUGAAGAAAUUUCUGUUUAUAGAAGAUACACAUUAAUUCAAAAGACACAAAUGGAGUAAAAAUAAAAUUCUAGAGAAAGAUAUUUCAUGAAAAUGAAAUUUAAGAAGAAAUCUUUAACUAAUAUCACAAAAAUAGAUUUUA